RNAcentral lists this ribosomal RNA (492 nucleotides) under uncultured bacterium. RNAcentral's name for it is "partial 16S ribosomal RNA". It matches the Rfam family "Bacterial small subunit ribosomal RNA", at positions 29 to 507 of the family's 1533-position model. The record is from RNAcentral.
AGUGAACGCUGGCGGUAGGCCUAACACAUGCAAGUCGAACGGCAGCACAGUAAGAGCUUGGUCUUACGGGUGGCGAGUAGCGGACCGUUGAGGAAUACAUCGGAAUCUACUUUUUCGUGGGGGAUAACGUAAGGAAACUUCCGCUAAUACCGCAUACGACCUACGGGUGAAAGCAGGGGUUCUUCGGACCUUGCGCGAUUGAAUGAGCCGAUGUCGGAUGAGCUAUUUGGCGGGGUAAAGGCCCACCAAGGCCACGACUCGUAGUUGGUCUGAGAGGACGAUCAGCAACACUGGAAGUGAGAGAGGGCAAAGACUACAAAUGGAGGCACCAGUUGGGAAUAUGGGAAAAUGGGCGCAAGCCUGAUCAAGUCAUACCGCGGGGGUGAAGAGAGCGUUCGCGUUGUAAAGUCCGUUUGUUGGGAAAGAAAAGCAGUAGGGUAAAAGCGCGCUGUUCUGACGGUACCCAAAGAAUAAGCACCGGCUAACUUCGUG